GAAGAUAUAGCUCACGUGGUAAAGUGCAUUUCUAGCAUGCAUGAGGUCCUGGGUUCAAUCCCCAAUAUCUCCU
RNAcentral lists this transfer RNA (73 nucleotides) under Camelus bactrianus (Bactrian camel). It matches the Rfam family "tRNA". Rfam says of the family: Transfer RNA (tRNA) molecules are approximately 80 nucleotides in length. Their secondary structure includes four short double-helical elements and three loops (D, anti-codon, and T loops). Lineage: Eukaryota; Metazoa; Chordata; Mammalia; Artiodactyla; Camelidae. RNAcentral also lists the same sequence under 1 other name. The record is from Rfam by way of RNAcentral.